RNAcentral lists this ribosomal RNA (111 nucleotides) under Camelus bactrianus (Bactrian camel). The record is from RNAcentral. Lineage: Eukaryota; Metazoa; Chordata; Mammalia; Artiodactyla; Camelidae. RNAcentral also lists the same sequence under 1 other name.
GCCUACAGCCAUACCACCCUAAAUGCACCCGAUCUUGUCUGGUCUUGGAAACUAGGCAAGGUCGGGCCUGGUUAGUACUUCGAUGGAAGAGAAAUGUAGAAAAUGUAGCUA